GAACCUUACCUGGGCUCGAACGGGCUUUAAGAACGACUUUGGAAACAGAGUUUUCCCGCAAGGGACUUGAGUCGAGGUGCUGCAUGGCUGUCGUCAGCUCGUGUCGUGAGAUGUUGGGUUAAGUCCCGCAACGAGCGCAACCCUUGUCCUGUGUUGCCACUCCGUAAGGAAGCACUCGCAGGAGACCGCCAGCGAUAAGUUGGAGGAAGGUGGGGAUGAUGUCAAGUCAUCAUGGCCUUUAUGUCCAGGGCUACACACGCGCUACAAUGGACGGUACAAAGCGCUGCAAACCCGCGAGGGGGAGCCAAUCGCAAAAAACCGUUCUCAGUUCGGAUUGCAGGCUGCAACUCGCCUGCAUGAAGCUGGAAUCGCUAGUAAUGGCGUAUCAGAAUGAUGCCGUGAAUACGUUCCCGGGCCUUGUCACACCGA
Molecule: ribosomal RNA, 429 nt
Filed under: uncultured soil bacterium
Lineage: Bacteria
Description: bacterial SSU rRNA
Rfam family: Bacterial small subunit ribosomal RNA
Source: RNAcentral